RNAcentral lists this long non-coding RNA (905 nucleotides) under Anas platyrhynchos platyrhynchos (common mallard). Its description in RNAcentral is "lncRNA (ENSAPLG00000028499.1)". Lineage: Eukaryota; Metazoa; Chordata; Aves; Anseriformes; Anatidae. The record is from RNAcentral.
CCCCAUGGGGUCCCCAAUGUUCUCCUUGGGGUCCCCAAUGUCCCCUAUGGGUUCUCCAAGGGGACCCCAAUGUUCUCCAUGGGGUUCCUGAUGUUCUCCAUGGGGUUCCUGGUGUCCCCUAUGGGUUCUCCAAGAGGACCCCAACCUUCUUUAGGGUCCCUUAUGUUCCCCAUGGGGUCCCCAACGUUCUCCUUGGGGUCCCUGAUGUCCCCUAUGGGUUCUCCAAGGGGACCCCAAUGUUCUCCUUGGGGUUCCUGAUGUCCCCCAUGGGGUCCCCGAUGUCCCCAUGGGGUCCCCAAUGUUCUUGGGGUCCCCGACGUUCUCCCCGGGUUCCCUGGUGUCCCCCUGACGCUGUCCCCAUCUCGUCCCCAGUGCCACCACCAUGCCGCACCAGUACCCGGCGCUCACCCCCGAGCAGAAGCAGGAGCUCGCCGACAUCGCCCGGCGCAUCGUGGCCCCCGGCAAGGGCAUCCUAGCUGCCGAUGAGUCCACUGGUGGGCACUGGGAUGAACUGGGAGGGCACUGGGAGGGACUGGGGGGGGCUGGGAGGGACUGGUUUGGGGCUGGGAGGGACUGGUGGGCGCUGGGAGGGGGUUGACGGGCACUGGGAGGGCACUGGGAGCUGCUGGGAGCUACUGGGAGGCACUGGGGCACCACCAAGAGCCCAGGAGGACGUACUGGGACAUACUGGAUCAUACUGGGACAUACUGGGAUGGCUUCAAGGAGGAUGGGGAGGUGGCCAAGAACCUCGAGGUGGUACCAGGAGGUCCAUGAGAGCUCCUGGGAAGGCACUGGGAGCUACUGGGAGGCACUGGGGCACCAACAGGAGCCCAGGGGGACAUACUAGGACAUACUGGGAUGUACUAGGUCAUACUGGAACAUACUGGUACGGCUUCAGAGAGGAU